Molecule: ribosomal RNA, 244 nt
Filed under: Citrobacter freundii
Lineage: Bacteria; Pseudomonadati; Pseudomonadota; Gammaproteobacteria; Enterobacterales; Enterobacteriaceae
Description: partial 16S ribosomal RNA
Rfam family: Bacterial small subunit ribosomal RNA
Source: RNAcentral
GGAGUCUGCAACUCGACUCCAUGAAGUCGGAAUCGCUAGUAAUCGUGGAUCAGAAUGCCACGGUGAAUACGUUCCCGGGCCUUGUACACACCGCCCGUCACACCAUGGGAGUGGGUUGCAAAAGAAGUAGGUAGCUUAACCUUCGGGAGGGCGCUUACCACUUUGUGAUUCAUGACUGGGGUGAAGUCGUAACAAGGUAACCGUAGGGGAACCUGCGGUUGGAUCACCUCCUUACCUUAAAGAA